CCUACGGGGGGCUGCAGUGAGGAAUAUUGGUCAAUGGGCGCAAGCCUGAACCAGCCAUCCCGCGUGCAGGAAGACGGCCCUAUGGGUUGUAAACUGCUUUUCCAGGGGGCGAAUAGCUCUUACGUGUAAGGGUAUGACUGUACCUUGGGAAUAAGCAUCGGCUAACUCCGUGCCAGCAGCCGCGGUAAUACGGAGGAUGCGAGCGUUAUCCGGAUUCAUUGGGUUUAAAGGGUGCGUAGGCGGAUUAAUAAGUCAGCGGUGAAAUCCUACAGCUUAACUGUAGAACUGCCGUUGAUACUGUUAGUCUUGAGUUUGGUUAAGGUAGGCGGAAUGUGUAAUGUAGCGGUGAAAUGCUUAGAGAUUACACAGAACACCAAUUGCGUAGGCAGCUUACUGGACCGACACUGACGCUGAGGCACGAAAGCGUGGGGAUCGAACAGGCUUAGAUACCCCAGUAGUC
RNAcentral lists this ribosomal RNA (460 nucleotides) under uncultured Bacteroidota bacterium. RNAcentral describes it as "bacterial SSU rRNA". It matches the Rfam family "Bacterial small subunit ribosomal RNA", at positions 338 to 795 of the family's 1533-position model. Lineage: Bacteria; Pseudomonadati; Bacteroidota. The record is from RNAcentral.